Molecule: unclassified non-coding RNA, 310 nt
Filed under: plant metagenome
Description: partial contains 5.8S ribosomal RNA, internal transcribed spacer 2, and large subunit ribosomal RNA
Rfam family: 5.8S ribosomal RNA (bases 1-105)
Source: RNAcentral
GAAAUGCGAUAAGUAGUGUGAAUUGCAGAAUUCAGUGAAUCAUCGAAUCUUUGAACGCACAUUGCGCCCCUUGGUAUUCCAUGGGGCAUGCCUGUUCGAGCGUCAUUUGUACCCUCAAGCUCUGCUUGGUGUUGGGUGUUUGUCCCGUCUCCGCGCGUGGACUCGCCCCAAAAGUGAUUGGCAGCCGGCGUACUGGUCCCGGAGCGCAGCACAUGUCGCGCAAACGAGUGCCUUGGUACGGCGGCGUCCAUAAGCCCCUCUCUCACGCUCUUGACCUCGGAUCAGGUAGGGAUACCCGCUGAACUUAAGC